This is a long non-coding RNA of Oncorhynchus tshawytscha (Chinook salmon), 1318 nucleotides long. RefSeq lists it as uncharacterized. Lineage: Eukaryota; Metazoa; Chordata; Actinopteri; Salmoniformes; Salmonidae. The transcript has 3 exons. The record is from RefSeq and is a predicted model, not a curated record.
CAUGGCAUAAGUCAUGGCAAAAUGUCAAACAUUUCAGGAGAUUAGCUUUAAAACUGCAACAUGUUCUCUCCAUCCCAUGGCAAAAUGUGUAGAACUGUAGGAAAUCAGCUUUAAAGCUGCACAUUUUUCUUUCUGCUGCUGCUAAAAAAUAAAAAAUAAAUGUAAAAAUCCCCUGGCCCUGAUGAACUGGACCCCCGCCUCCUACACCUAGCCGCAGACAUCAUUGCUCCCCCAUAACAUGUAUUUUUAACCUCACGCUCGAUGUUAAGGAAAUCCCCAAGUUAUGGAAAUCUGCUUUUGUACUGCCUCUCCUGAAAGGUGGAGAUCCUUCGCUACUUGACAACUAUCGACCCCUAUCAAAAUUGUCUGUACUGUCAAAGGUACUGGAGUCCUUAGUUAGUAGGCAGCUAAAUGUCUACUUCCAAGAAAACAGCAUCUUAGAUGGAAUGCAAUUAGGUUUUAGGUCUGGCCACAGCACUGUUUCAGCAACAUUGAAGGUUUUAAAUGACAUCCACUGUGCUCUUGAUAAGAAGUUACAUUGUGUGUCUGUUUUUAUUGAUUUGUCAAGGCUUUUGACACCGUGGACCAUGCUGUGUUAGUGCAAAGGUGGUGGAAAUACUGGUCAUGCUGUCACGAUCGUCAUGGGAAGUAGACCAAGGUGCAGCGUGUGUGCAGCAGACUUUCCAGCCUCAUUGAAACUAGGACAGACAGAAUUGAAAGCUCAGGAGAAACCAAGCCUCCAAACAAAACAGGUGACCUUCGCAAAUCUCCCAAGAAGAAAGAGUUGCUAAAGAGAGUUUGGAGGACUGCGAAACGAGUUAUCUGUGGCUGCUGUAGACAUGCCAGGAGCCAGGAGCCAGGACUAAAAUACAUAGUCAUUGUUGGCCUCGUUCGACACUUUGUAAAACAGACAAAUCAAGUCUUUUUCAUGCUUGAAUCUCUAUUUUGUCAUUUAAAGCAUUGUUGACAUGAUUACAUUCUUUAGUCAUUACAUUUUACAGGGUUGUUUUCUAAUUUUCUAACUGUGAAUUUGUGUGUAAAGAAUAUUCUAUUACAUCAGUGGAAACCCCUCAUAGAGUUACAGAAUCAGUACUUCACAUCACAAUUGGUAAAUAAUUACUUGAAAAAAGAUUUGCCCUAGUUGUUUUUAAUUCUAACGCAGAAAGUGUAUUAAAGGGAUUGGUACACAUCUAUUGUAAUCUACUUUAACCAUUAAAAGGGGGUGGCAACAGAUCUCGCCUCAUUAAAAAUCAAUGGCUCUGUCAGUGUGGUCUGCAAUGGGUCCCAUUAAGAGAGUGUAUGACUUCACAUUAGCACA